This 469-nucleotide ribosomal RNA is filed under the name uncultured bacterium. RNAcentral's name for it is "partial 16S ribosomal RNA". It matches the Rfam family "Bacterial small subunit ribosomal RNA", at positions 28 to 507 of the family's 1533-position model. The record is from RNAcentral.
GACGAACGCUGGCGGCGUGCUUAACACAUGCAAGUCGAACGGUGAGGCCCUGCUUGCAGUGUGCUCGAAUGGCGAACGGGUGAGUAACACGUGGGUGAGCUGACCCUUACUUUGGGAUAAGCCUGGGAAACUGGGUCUUAUAAUGGCUAGGACCAUGCUGUAGGUGGUGUGGUGGAAAGAUUAGUUUCGGGAAGGGAUAAGCUCGUGGCCUAUCAGCUUGUUGGUGGGGUAAUGGCCUAUCAAGGCGUCGACGGGUAGCCGGCCUGAGAGGGUGGACGGCCACAUUGGGACUGAGAUACGGCCCAGACUCCUACGGCAGGCAGCAGUGGGGAAUAUUGCACAAUGGGCGCAAGCCUGAUGCAGCGACGCCGCGUGGGGGAUGACGGCUUUCGGGUUGUAAACUCCUUUCAGCCAUGACGAAGCCCUUGUAGUGACGGUAGUGGUAGAAGAAGCACCGGCUAACUACGUG